RNAcentral lists this ribosomal RNA (563 nucleotides) under Gymnoascoideus petalosporus. RNAcentral describes it as "eukaryotic LSU rRNA". It matches the Rfam family "Eukaryotic large subunit ribosomal RNA", at positions 58 to 632 of the family's 3401-position model. Lineage: Eukaryota; Fungi; Ascomycota; Eurotiomycetes; Onygenales; Gymnoascaceae. The record is from RNAcentral.
AAAGAAACCAACAGGGAUUGCCUCAGUAACGGCGAGUGAAGCGGCAACAGCUCAAAUUUGAAAUCUGGCCUCCUUGCGGGGUCCGAGUUGUAAUUUGCAGAGGAUGCUUCGGGUGCGGCCGCGGCGUAAGUCCCCUGGAACGGGGCGUCACAGAGGGUGAGAAUCCCGUCUUGAGUCGCUGGACCCGCGCCCGUGUGAAGCUCCUUCGACGAGUCGAGUUGUUUGGGAAUGCAGCUCUAAAUGGGUGGUAAAUUUCAUCUAAAGCUAAAUACUGGCUGGAGACCGAUAGCGCACAAGUAGAGUGAUCGAAAGGUUAAAAGCACCUUGAAAAGGGAGUUAAAUAGCACGUGAAAUUGUUGAAAGGGAAGCGCUUGCGACCAGACUCGGCCGUGGAGGCUCAGCGGGCAUUCGUGCCCGUGCACUCCCCCGCGGCCGGGCCAGCAUCAGCUCUGGCAGCCGGUCAAAGGCCCCUGGAAUGUGUCGCCCUCCGGGGCGUCUUAUAGCCAGGGGUGCAAUGCGGCUCGCCGGGGCUGAGGAACGCGCUUCGGCUCGGAUGCUGGCGU